AGCAGGCGGGGUUAUCGCUGGUUUUUUUUAAACGAGAGGAAAGUCCGGGCACCACAGGUCAGAAUGCUGGAUAACGUCCAGGCGGCGCAAGCCGACGGAAAGUGCAACAGAGAGUAGACAGCCUUAGGCUUUUUAAGCUUUGUCUAAGCACUCUAACAUUUGUUGGGUGUUUGGAAGGUGAUGGUGAAACGGUGCGGUAAGAGCGCACCACCAAACUGGCAACAGUAUUGGGUUUGGUAAACCCCAUUCGGUGCAAACGCAAAUAGGUUCUUCGUCCUUAUUUAAAGGUAAGUGUGACCUGCAUGAGAAAGAACGGGUAGCGUGCUUGAGCUUGUCAGCAAUGGCAAGACUAGAUGAAUGAUAACCGCCUUGGCGUAAGCCAAGAGCACAGAACCCGGCUUACAAGCCUGCUGC
Molecule: RNase P RNA, 414 nt
Filed under: marine eukaryotic metagenome
Description: Bacterial RNase P class A
Rfam family: Bacterial RNase P class A
About the family: Ribonuclease P (RNase P) is a ubiquitous endoribonuclease, found in archaea, bacteria and eukarya as well as chloroplasts and mitochondria. Its best characterised activity is the generation of mature 5'-ends of tRNAs by cleaving the 5'-leader elements of precursor-tRNAs.
Source: RNAcentral